ACUACUUCACAGCCUGUGUAUAUAUUUGUAAAUCCACACACAAGAAUAAGUGGGGCUCUGAAAGGUUUCCGGCAGUUCUUUUUAAAUAAUGCCCUGGUGAGCCCUGGGCUUUAGUGUCAUAUUUCCGGGUUUGCACGUCUAUACAAGGAAUCAAGACAUUGCGUCGUAAUAUCAAAGAUCCCACAAGGAAGAGUGAGCAGAAUCACGGAUCUAUGGAUAUAAGUUAUGGAUGAGAACUGAAAUAGAGUAAGACUGAAAAUGAUACACACAUCAACUUUUGUAUGAAGACAAGAACAAAUGAUAGACUUUUUCCCCCCAUAAAGAGAGCACUGUUUCACUCUGAGGAGAAAAUUUCAUUGUCAUCGUGAUCUGAUCCUGAGGGUCUUGAAUGUGGAAACAGUACUGCAAGGAAGGCUUGUCACUUCUCCCUAAUGUAUGGAACAUGAAGGCUAGAGGCCAGAAUCAUCUUUG
This is a non-coding RNA of Vicugna pacos (alpaca), 471 nucleotides long. The record is from RefSeq and is a predicted model, not a curated record. Lineage: Eukaryota; Metazoa; Chordata; Mammalia; Artiodactyla; Camelidae.